GACGAACGCUGGCGGCGUGGAUUAGGCAUGCAAGUCGGACGGUAGGGCUUUAUCGUAAGAUAGAGUUUGAGAGUGGCGAACGGGUGAGUAACACGUAGGAAUCUACCCUUAAGACGGGGACAACCCAGGGAAACUUGGGCUAAUACCGGAUGAGAGUGCGAGAGAUUGCAUUUAAAAGGAUGGCGAAAGUUGUCGCUUAGGGAUGAGCCUGCGGUCUAUUAGUUAGUUGGUGAGGUAAGAACUCACCAAGGCGAUGAUAGAUAGGCGGCCUUAACGGGUGGUCGCCCACACUGGGACUGAGACACGGCCCAGACUCCUACGGGAGGCAGCAGUCGAGAAUAGUCUACAAUGGUCGGAAGACUGAUAGUGCGACGCCGCGUGAACGAUGAAUCCCUUCGGGGUUAAAGUUCUUUUAUAUGUGAGCAGUGCUUCUUAUAUUAACAGUAUGGGGAAGAGAUAUUAGCAUAUGAAUAAGCAACGGCUAACUCCGUGCCAGC
This 497-nucleotide ribosomal RNA is filed under the name uncultured bacterium. RNAcentral describes it as "bacterial SSU rRNA". It matches the Rfam family "Bacterial small subunit ribosomal RNA", at positions 28 to 512 of the family's 1533-position model. The record is from RNAcentral.